AAGGUUUCCGUAGGUGAACCUGCGGAAGGAUCAUUAUAUGGCCCAGUACCACCAACAGUCCCCACAUGGACAGCCCGCGAGAGGCCUGGCAAGCCUUUCGGGGGCGUUGGUUGCCUACAGUAUUGGUCGGUCUAUGUCUCUGUGUCAGUAGGUACGCGAUCGUGCUGAACCUCUGCCCUUGAUCGUCCCCCCAAACUCUCCCGCCAGGAGCUUAGACGGUCUUGCGGUGCGGCGCUCAAAAGGCCGCCAGAGCAUAUUCGGGAAUCCUUGACUAUGAGUACCUUUCUAUUGCUUCCUUCGGUGGACUUGUCCGCCGACCGGAGCCCCCAUAAACCCUUUUGCGUCAGCAUUAAUUCUCUGAUAUGUACCUAAAUCGUUACAACUUUCAACAAUGGAUCUCUUGGUUCUGGCAUCGAUGAAGAACGCAGCGAAAUGCGAUAAGUAGUGUGAAUUGCAGAAUUCCGUGAAUCAUCGAAUCUUUGAACGCACAUUGCGCCCCUUGGUAUUCCAUGGGGCAUGCCUGUUCGAGCGUCAUUUACCCCUCAAGCACUGCUUGGUGUUGGGCGUCUGUCCCGCCUUUUCGCGCGCGGACUCGCCCCAAAAGCAUUGGCAGCGGUCUUUUCCAGCCUUUCGCGCAGCAGUUUGCGCUAUUGAGGCCUUGGGUAGACCCGCGUCCACGAAGCAUCCACCACUUUUGACCUCGGAUCAGGUAGGGAUACCCGCUGAACUUAAGC
RNAcentral lists this ribosomal RNA (734 nucleotides) under Pseudobambusicola thailandica. Its description in RNAcentral is "eukaryotic LSU rRNA". The stretch from base 381 to 534 matches the Rfam family "5.8S ribosomal RNA". Lineage: Eukaryota; Fungi; Ascomycota; Dothideomycetes; Pleosporales; Sulcatisporaceae. The record is from RNAcentral.